GACGAACGCUGGCGGCGUGCUUAACACAUGCAAGUCGAACGGAAAGGCCCUGCUUUUGUGGGGUGCUCGAGUGGCGAACGGGUGAGUAACACGUGAGUAACCUGCCCUUGACUUUGGGAUAACUUCAGGAAACUGGGGCUAAUACCGGAUAGGAGCUCCUGCUGCAUGGUGGGGGUUGGAAAGUUUCGGCGGUUGGGGAUGGACUCGCGGCUUAUCAGCUUGUUGGUGGGGUAGUGGCUUACCAAGGCUUUGACGGGUAGCCGGCCUGAGAGGGUGACCGGCCACAUUGGGACUGAGAUACGGACCAGAAUACUACGGGAGGCAGCAGUGGGGAAUAUUGCACAAUGGGAGGAAGCCUGAUGAAGCAACGCCGCGUGCGGGAUGACGGCCUUCGGGUUGUAAACCGAUUUCGCCUGUGACGAAGCGUGAGUGACGGUAAUGGGUAAAGAAGCACCGGCUAACUACGUG
RNAcentral lists this ribosomal RNA (468 nucleotides) under uncultured bacterium. Its description in RNAcentral is "partial 16S ribosomal RNA". It matches the Rfam family "Bacterial small subunit ribosomal RNA", at positions 28 to 507 of the family's 1533-position model. The record is from RNAcentral.